This 510-nucleotide ribosomal RNA is filed under the name uncultured bacterium. Its description in RNAcentral is "partial 16S ribosomal RNA". It matches the Rfam family "Bacterial small subunit ribosomal RNA", at positions 28 to 507 of the family's 1533-position model. The record is from RNAcentral.
GACGAACGCUGGCGGCGUGCUUAACACAUGCAAGUCGAACGAAGAGCGAUGGAAGCUUGCUUCUAUCAAUCUUAGUGGCGAACGGGUGAGUAACGCGUAAUCAACCUGCCCUUCAGAGGGGGACAACAGUUGGAAACGACUGCUAAUACCGCAUACGAUCUGACCUCGGCAUCGAGGAUAGAUGAAAGGUGGCCUCUACAUGUAAGCUAUCACUGAAGGAGGGGAUUGCGUCUGAUUAGCUAGUUGGAGGGGUAACGGCCCACCAAGGCGAUGAUCAGUAGCCGGUCUGAGAGGAUGAACGGCCACAGUGGGACUGAGACACGGCCCAGACUCCUACGGGAGGCAGCAGUGGGGAAUCUUCCGCAAUGGACGAAAGUCUGACGGAGCAACGCCGCGGGAGGGAUGACGGCCUUCGGGUUGGAAAGCUCGGUUAAUCGGGACGAAAGGCCUUUUUGCGAAUAGUGAGAAGGAUUGACGGUACCGGAAUAGAAAGCCACGGCUAACUACGUG